RNAcentral lists this small nuclear RNA (97 nucleotides) under Nannospalax galili (Upper Galilee mountains blind mole rat). The record is from RNAcentral. Lineage: Eukaryota; Metazoa; Chordata; Mammalia; Rodentia; Spalacidae.
CUACUUCAGCAACACAAAUACUAAAAUUGGAGUGAUGCAGAGAUUAGCAUGGCCCCUGUACAAGGACACACAAAUUCAUCAAGGAGCCCAUGUUAUU